GUGUCAGCCGCCGCGGUAAUACGUAGGGGGCGAGCGUUGUCCGGAAUUACUGGGCGUAAAGGGUGCGUAGGCGGUCUGUUAAGUCAGAUGUGAAACUCCAUGGCUCAACUGUGGGCUUGCAUAUGAAACUGGCAGACUAGAGUGCAGGAGAGGGAAGUGGGAUUCCUAGUGUAGCGGUGAAAUGCGUAGAGAUUAGGAGGAACACCAGUGGCGAAGGCGGCUUUCUGGCCUGUAACUGACGCUGAGGCACGAAAGCGUGGGGAGCGAACAGGAUUAGAUACCCUGGUAGUCCACGCCGUAAACGAUGGAUACUAGGUGUAGGGGGUAUUAAGCCUUCUGUGCCGCAGUUAACGCAAUAAGUAUCCCGCCUGGGGAGUACGGCCGCAAGGCUGAAACUCAAAGAAAUUGGCGG
RNAcentral lists this ribosomal RNA (412 nucleotides) under uncultured bacterium. RNAcentral's name for it is "bacterial SSU rRNA". It matches the Rfam family "Bacterial small subunit ribosomal RNA", at positions 505 to 916 of the family's 1533-position model. The record is from RNAcentral.